UCACGCAUCGCGUCUCCCCCAAAUCCACCACGAGUGGAGGGGAAGGAGGAUGGUUUCCCGCGACUCACCGGUCGCGGCUGGCCUAAAAUUGGAGCCCUCGGCAUCGGGAUGCCGCGGCGAUAGGUGGUGAACAAGGCCUCGGCCAAGCAAGCAACCCGUCGCGCGUCCCAGUGCCAACGUGAGCUCGAAGGACCCUUUGAUGUUGCCUUGUUGCAACCAAACCGUUGCGAC
This 231-nucleotide ribosomal RNA is filed under the name Silene noctiflora (night-flowering catchfly). The record is from RNAcentral. Lineage: Eukaryota; Viridiplantae; Streptophyta; Magnoliopsida; Caryophyllales; Caryophyllaceae.